Molecule: ribosomal RNA, 441 nt
Filed under: uncultured bacterium
Lineage: Bacteria
Description: bacterial SSU rRNA
Rfam family: Bacterial small subunit ribosomal RNA
Source: RNAcentral
AACGCGAAGAACCUUACCUACCCUUGACAUCCCGCGGAUUUGAUAGAGAUAUUGAAGUGCCGAAAGGAACGCGGAGACAGGUGCUGCAUGGCUGUCGUCAGCUCGUGUUGUGAGAUGUUGGGUUAAGUCCCGUAACGAGCGCAACCCUUAUGCUUAGUUGCCAACACGUAAAGGUGGGGACUCUAAGGAGACUGCUGGUGAAGAACCGGAGGAAGGCGGGGACGACGUCAAGUCAUCAUGGCCUUUAUGGGUAGGGCUACACACGUGCUACAAUGGGCAGUACAGAGGGAAGCGAAACGGAGACGUGGAGCGAAUCCCGAAAAGCUGUUCGUAGUCCGGAUUGAAGUCUGCAACUCGACUUCAUGAAGUCGGAAUCGCUAGUAAUCGCGAAUCAGCAUGUCGCGGUGAAUACGUUCCCGGGCCUUGUACACACCGAGUAUA